This 375-nucleotide ribosomal RNA is filed under the name uncultured organism. RNAcentral describes it as "partial 16S ribosomal RNA". It matches the Rfam family "Bacterial small subunit ribosomal RNA", at positions 527 to 896 of the family's 1533-position model. The record is from RNAcentral.
GGAGGGUGCAAGCGUUGUUCGGAAUUAUUGGGCGUAAAGAGCGUGUAGGUGGUUGAACAAGUCAGAUGUGAAACUCCCUCGGCUCAACCGAGGAAGUGCAUUUGAAACUGUUCAGCUUGAGUACGGGAGAGGAGAGCGGAAUUCCCGGUGUAGAGGUGAAAUUCGUAGAUAUCGGGAGGAACACCGGUGGCGAAGGCGGUUCUCUGGCCCGAUACUGACGCUGAGACGCGAAAGCGUGGGGAGCAAACAGGAUUAGAUACCCUGGUAGUCCACGCCGUAAACGAUGGGCACUAGGUGUAGGAGGUAUUGAAUCCUUCUGUGCCCGAAGCUAACGCAUUAAGUGCCCCCGCCUGGGGGAGUACGGCCGCAAGGCUA